RNAcentral lists this long non-coding RNA (534 nucleotides) under Homo sapiens (human). RNAcentral describes it as "HSALNT0210503". The record is from RNAcentral. Lineage: Eukaryota; Metazoa; Chordata; Mammalia; Primates; Hominidae.
UCCAGAGAUUCCUUGAUGCUUCAUUCAACAUGUAAGUACAGACCAGAAGGCAAAAGCUCAUAGAAACGGCAAUGGGAGUUGUGGAUAGAUAUUUAAGCGUCCUUCCCUUCAAGCAGACACCUCUGGUGGGCACUCUGAAGACCCUUCAGGAAGUAUGGAUCUCACCCUAUGGUCCAGGCUGGAGUGCAGAGGCAGAAUCUCAGCUCACUACAACCACCUCCUACCUAACUGAAGAGAUCCUCCCAUCUCAAGAGUCCUGACUGGCUGGAACUACAGGUGCUCGCCACUACACCUGGCUAAUUUUUUAAUUUUUUGUAAAGACGAAGUCUCACUAUAUUGUCCAGGCUGAUCUCCAACUCCUGGGCUCAAGUGAUCCUUCUGCUUCAGCCUCCAAAAGUGUUUGGAUUACAGGAAUGACCCACUCCAUGUGGCCCAAAACACUGUUUUCUAAUUUUACUUAGGUCACCUACUUUCUUCCCCAUUCACUUCAAUGUGACUGUGAAUAAUUUGUAAUAUGGUUAGACACAUUUCUUG